Molecule: ribosomal RNA, 457 nt
Filed under: uncultured bacterium
Lineage: Bacteria
Description: partial 16S ribosomal RNA
Rfam family: Bacterial small subunit ribosomal RNA
Source: RNAcentral
AACGAACGCUGGCGGCAUGCCUAACACAUGCAAGUCGAACGAGACCUUCGGGUCUAGUGGCGCACGGGUGCGUAACGCGUGGGAACCUGCCCUUAGGUUCGGAAUAACUCCCCGAAAGGGGUGCUAAUACCGGAUAAUGUCUUCGGACCAAAGAUUUAUCGCCUUUGGAUGGGCCCGCGUUGGAUUAGCUAGUUGGUAGGGUAAAAGCCUACCAAGGGGACGAUCCAUAGCUGGUCUGAGAGGAUGAUCAGCCACACUGGGACUGAGACACGGCCCAGACUCCUAUGGGAGGCAGCAGUGGGAAUAUUGGACAAUGGGCGCAAGCCUGAUCCAGCCAUACCGCGUGGGUGAAGAAGGCCUUCGGGUUGUAAAGCCCUUUUGUUGGGAAAGAAAAGCAGCAGGUUAAUACCCCGCUGUUCUGACGGUACCCAAAGAAUAAGCACCGGCUAACUUCGUG